This 547-nucleotide ribosomal RNA is filed under the name Inquisitor intertinctus. RNAcentral describes it as "Inquisitor intertincta partial 16S ribosomal RNA". It matches the Rfam family "Bacterial large subunit ribosomal RNA", at positions 1802 to 2619 of the family's 2925-position model. Lineage: Eukaryota; Metazoa; Mollusca; Gastropoda; Neogastropoda; Pseudomelatomidae. The record is from RNAcentral.
GUUUACCAAAAACAUGGCUUCUUGUAUUUAAAAAAUAAGGAGUCGGACCUGCCCGGUGAAAAUUUUUAACGGCCGCGGUACCCUAACCGUGCAAAGGUAGCAUAAUAAUUUGCCUUAUAAUUGAAGGCUAGUAUGAAUGGUUUGACAAGAACAUUACUGUCUCUUUAUGAUUUAUUAGAAUUUUAUUUUAAGGUGAAGAAGCCUUAAUGUAAUUGAUAGACAAGAAGACCCUAUCGAGCUUUAAAAAACUUAGAAGAUUUAUAGCUUAAUAGUAUUUAAAAAAGAAACUUUUGAAAAUUUUAGUUGGGGCGACUAAGGAACAAUAAAAGCUUCCUUUAUGUUUAUUAACUAAUAAGUUUUGAUCCAAAAUAUUUUGAUUAAAAAAAUUAGUUACCGUAGGGAUAACAGCAUUAUCUUUUUUAAGAGUUCUUAUCGAAAAAAAGGUUUGUGACCUCGAUGUUGGACCAGAAUAUCCCAAAGGUGCAGAAGCCUUUAAAGGUUGGUCUGUUCGACCAUUAAAAUUCUACGUGAUCUGAGUUCAGACCGG